Molecule: non-coding RNA, 87 nt
Organism: Podarcis lilfordi (Lilford's wall lizard)
Lineage: Eukaryota; Metazoa; Chordata; Lepidosauria; Squamata; Lacertidae
Source: the annotation of a GenBank genome assembly
UGUGUGCAUAUAUGUGUGUGUACACGUAUAUGUGUGUAUAUAUGUUUAUGCAUACAUAUGUGUGUGCACACAUGUAUUAUGAAUGUG